RNAcentral lists this ribosomal RNA (456 nucleotides) under uncultured bacterium. RNAcentral's name for it is "bacterial SSU rRNA". It matches the Rfam family "Bacterial small subunit ribosomal RNA", at positions 925 to 1382 of the family's 1533-position model. The record is from RNAcentral.
ACAAGCAGUGGAGUAUGUGGUUUAAUUCGAAGCAACGCGAAGAACCUUACCAGGGCUUGACAUCCCUUGAAGCAGCUAGAGAUAGCUGUGUCCUUCGGGACAAGGAGACAGGUGGUGCAUGGUUGUCGUCAGCUCGUGUCGCGAGAUGUUGGGUUAAGUCCCGCAACGAGCGCAACCCCUGUGGUUAGUUGCCAGCAAGUAGCGUUGGGCACUCUAGCCAGACUGCCGGUGAUAAAUCGGAGGAAGGUGGGGACGACGUCAAAUCAUCAUGCCCUUUAUGUCCUGGGCUACACACGUACUACAAUGGCCGUUACAACGGGAAGCGAAGGAGCAAUCCGGAGCAAAUCCCUUAAAGGCGGUCCCAGUUCAGAUUGUGGGCUGAAACUCGCCCACAUGAAGGCGGAAUUGCUAGUAAUUGCAGAUCAGCAUGCUGCAGUGAAUACGUUCCCGGGCCUU